UACGUAGGGGGCAAGCGUUGUCCGGAUUUAUUGGGCGUAAAGAGCGUGUAGGCGGUUUGGUAGGUCCGCUGUGAAAACUCGAGGCUCAACCUCGAGACGCCGGUGGAAACCAUCAGACUAGAGUCCGGAAGAGGAGAGUGGAAUUCUUGGUGUAGCGGUGAAAUGCGCAGAUAUCAGGAGGAACACCGAUGGCGAAGGCAGAUCUCUGGGCCGUAACUGACGCUGAGGAGCGAAAGCAUGGGGAGCGAACAGG
Molecule: ribosomal RNA, 253 nt
Filed under: uncultured bacterium
Lineage: Bacteria
Description: partial 16S ribosomal RNA
Rfam family: Bacterial small subunit ribosomal RNA
Source: RNAcentral